CCUACGGGUGGCAGCAGUGGGGAAUAUUGGACAAUGGGCGAAAGCCUGAUCCAGCCAUGCCGCGUGUGUGAAGAAGGCCUUCGGGUUGUAAAGCACUUUCAGUGGGGAAGAAAGCCUUGGGGCUAAUACCCUCGAGGAAGGACAUCACCCACAGAAGAAGCACCGGCUAACUCCGUGCCAGCAGCCGCGGUAAUACGGAGGGUGCGAGCGUUAAUCGGAAUUACUGGGCGUAAAGCGCGCGUAGGCGGUCUGAUAAGCCGGUUGUGAAAGCCCCGGGCUCAACCUGGGAACGGCAUCCGGAACUGUCAGGCUAGGGGGCAGGAGAGGAAGGGAGAAUUCCCGGGGUAGCGGUGAAAUGCGUAGAGAUCGGGAGGAAUACCAGUGGCGAAGGCGGCCUUCUGGACUGACACUGACGCUGAGGUGCGAAAGCGUGGGUAGCAAACAGGAUUAGAUACCCUAGAGUC
This 464-nucleotide ribosomal RNA is filed under the name Vreelandella stevensii. RNAcentral's name for it is "partial 16S ribosomal RNA". It matches the Rfam family "Bacterial small subunit ribosomal RNA", at positions 338 to 795 of the family's 1533-position model. The record is from RNAcentral. Lineage: Bacteria; Pseudomonadati; Pseudomonadota; Gammaproteobacteria; Oceanospirillales; Halomonadaceae.